Molecule: long non-coding RNA, 1829 nt
Organism: Anas platyrhynchos (mallard)
Lineage: Eukaryota; Metazoa; Chordata; Aves; Anseriformes; Anatidae
Source: RefSeq, a predicted model, not a curated record
UGAGAAAGAAGUUGUGGUGGAGUUCAGCUGUCUAGCACGGUAAAAUCACAGCAUUUGUUUUGUUGCUUUUGCAUCUGCAGUUGCCAAAGAGGGACUGUACAUCCAGAUUACCAGUCAUGCUUAAAGUGUUCCACCUGUAAUGAUCCCGUCUCCCACCAACCCUACAGUGUAAACGAGAUGUGACAUCACUGCAACGUGGCCAUGUUUAACUUGAAAUAUCAUAGAAAAGACAACACACUUCAGCCUUCUGUUAUACCUUAUUCUUGCAGCUGAAAAUCAGAAUUGUUGGACUCUUAUGACACCAUUGCCAAUGAGCACAUUUAACAGCAUCUACAAAUGUCUGUGAUAUUAGAAUUAUGGACACCUAUUUUUAUGAUUCCACAGUGAUCUGCCAUUGUUACACAAGUUUUCUUUUGUUUGUUUUUUGUUUGUUUGUUUUUAAUUUUAUUCCAAUUUCCUUCAUUGUUUAGUGAGAAACAUAAUCAGAUUUUUAUAAUCAAUAACACAAAUGUUAUUUUAACAACAUUGGGACGGGGGUCAUAGACUUGAUAUUGUGACUAUGUAUUCUCUAGGAUUCCUAACUGAAUGUGUUUGGAAAAGUGAUUUCUUGAGUUUUUGCUUUAAGGUACACAAUUCCCUUUCUGCAGAAUGCUGCUGUAUUUCUUCUGCUUGCAAAUAAUAGCAUAUAAAACCUGAGGCCAAGCAAUGAAGUAGCAGUCUAAAAGGUUAAGGACCCUUUGAUCAGGGUAUUAAAGACUCUGUUCACAGAUGAAAUGUUGUGCUUCCAAAGUUUUAUGUUAAAAGUUAAUAUGCUUAAGAUAAUCAAUCUCAGCUGCACUAGACCUUCAGUAAUUUUGUUUCUAUCAUCAAACAAGCCUUAUGGGGUUGAAUAUAGUGGUAGUUCAUAAUGAAGCACUUCAUAUAGAAGCAGCUGUCUCCUCACCUGUUUCCCAGCCCAUCUAGAGGCCUGGAGAAAUUCUUCAAUUUAGCAAGCAAACUUAAGUCAUUAUUAGAAAUGACAGGGAAACCUGAUGAAAUUGUACUUUCAAUUGGAAAACAAAAUUGCAAUCAGACCAACAUGAUUUCCUCAUGGUCUGACCAUGCUAAUGCCAAGUUGAGACAUGGGCAAAUGUAUUUAAAAGUCAUAAUGGAGUAUUACCAUGCAAUCUCUUUUUACUGGCCCUUAUUAAUAUAAAACUUCAAUUUGCAUGUAAAUGCAGUCAACUUUCAUAUCAUCAAAAUACAUGAAGCCUGGGAAAGUAAUGAAUUGAAGUUUGAUGCAGCAAUUACUGACGUUUAUAAAGAAUUUUAAAGAGGUCAUUCUAGUCUUGGCUGAGAAAAUGAGGAAAUCAACAGGGAAUAUUGUCAAUAUAGCAACAGUGGGAGUUGGAGUCAGUCCCAGGUGUUAGAAGGCCAGAUGAUGAUUAAUAGAGAGGGAGUAUGAAGCCUUUCACCCAGAAGGACUGGGCUGGACCUGGGGCUCAAUAACAGAGCUCUCAUGAAAAGGUUCUUGCUGGGUUCCCACUUUAGCUGCCUCGAAAUGUGUUCCAGAGGGAAUAAAGUAGCAAGUGUUUAUGAGAAGAGCAGUGCUGAAGGUUUAAUUGGGCUCCACAUCCUUUCAGCUCCCACCAGUAGUUGAUAUGCAGUUUAACCUUUUUUUCCCCACCUCAAAUACCCCAGUGCCACUGGGAUUUUAAUAAGGCAGUAUCUUGAUAGCUUGGAAAAAUACUGGCUUCUUUGCUAAAUUGAGUUAAACUACCUUAUUGUGUAAUAAAGACAAUUUGUACAUCUCUUGAUUUGAAAAUUUUGCAAACAAACAAACAAUAAAA